UAUCGCAAAAAGGACCUCCUCUCCUCCUUUUUUGCUUUUGAGAUGGAGAUUACUUGUUCCUCUCAAAAACUUUUUUGAGAUCUCCUCCCCCUUUUUUAAGAAACUGUGACAGGGGACUAUAUCUGGACCCAUGCUUUUUGGUGCAUUUUUUCUGUGGGUCAAACACUUUUAAUAACAUUCUGGAGACCUCCCGGACAAACUCUAUCUCGCACUGGGACGAGCACACCGGAGCUCCUCUUUUUUGUAUCAGUGUCCCCACCAGGCACCAGGGCACCAGAGGCCAAAGACCAUCUCGCUGGAGCACAGCUGGUAAAACCUCACCGAACAAUCCAGCACCCCAGCUCGGCAAAGGACGGCCAGGAGCAGAUCAACCAGACCACUGUUGGACCUCCAUGAGACCUUCACCGACGCUGCCAGGAGCAGGUUGGGGAGUUCCCUCUCCACCAUCCCGGAAUUAUCCGACGAGGACGAAUUUCCACCACUGCCAGCCUCCAGUGUUGCCGGUGCCCGGACUGGCACAAUGGGAGAACCAGGAGCCCUGGUCGUAUUAACAGGAGGAUCACUAAACAUGAUGAGCGGCUUAAUAAAGGCUAAUGUAGCCAACCACACCGUAUCUGAGACCUCC
Platichthys flesus (European flounder) is the source of this 625-nucleotide long non-coding RNA. RefSeq lists it as uncharacterized. The record is from RefSeq and is a predicted model, not a curated record. Lineage: Eukaryota; Metazoa; Chordata; Actinopteri; Pleuronectiformes; Pleuronectidae. The transcript has 3 exons.